RNAcentral lists this ribosomal RNA (497 nucleotides) under uncultured bacterium. RNAcentral's name for it is "partial 16S ribosomal RNA". It matches the Rfam family "Bacterial small subunit ribosomal RNA", at positions 28 to 507 of the family's 1533-position model. The record is from RNAcentral.
GAUGAACGCUGGCGGCGUGCCUAAUACAUGCAAGUCGAGCGAACAGACGAGGAGCUUGCUCCUCUGACGUUAGCGGCGGACGGGUGAGUAACACGUGGAUAACCUACCUAUAAGACUGGGAUAACUUCGGGAAACCGGAGCUAAUACCGGAUAAUAUAUUGAACCGCAUGGUUCAAUAGUGAAAGACGGUUUUGCUGUCACUUAUAGAUGGAUCCGCGCCGCAUUAGCUAGUUGGUAAGGUCACGGCUUACCAAGGCAACGAUGCGUAGCCGACCUGAGAGGGUGAUCGGCCACACUGGAACUGAGACACGGUCCAGACUCCUACGGGAGGCAGCAGUAGGGAAUCUGCCGCAAAGGGCGAAAGCCUGACGGAGCAACGCCGCGUGAGUGAUGAAGGUCUUCGGAUCGUAAAACUCUGUUAUUAGGGAAGAACAAAUGUGUAAGUAACUAUGCACGUCUUGACGGUACCUAAUCAGAAAGCCACGGCUAACUACGUG